UGGGGAAUAUUGCACAAUGGGCGCAAGCCUGAUGCAGCCAUGCCGCGUGUGUGAAGAAGGCCUUCGGGUUGUAAAGCACUUUUGGCAGGAAAGAAACGUCGCGGGUUAAUACCCCGCGAAACUGACGGUACCUGCAGAAUAAGCACCGGCUAACUACGUGCCAGCAGCCGCGGUAAUACGUAGGGUGCAAGCGUUAAUCGGAAUUACUGGGCGUAAAGCGUGCGCAGGCGGUUCGGAAAGAAAGAUGUGAAAUCCCAGAGCUUAACUUUGGAACUGCAUUUUAACUACCGGGCUAGAGUGUGUCAGAGGGAGGUGGAAUUCCGCGUGUAGCAGUGAAAUGCGUAGAUAUGCGGAGGAACACCGAUGGCGAAGGCAGCCUCCUGGGAUAACACUGACGCUCAUGCACGAAAGCGUGGGGAGCAAACAGGAUUAGAUACCCUGGUAGUCCACGCCCUAAAACGAUGUCAACUAGCUGUUGGGGCCUUCGGGCCUUGGUAGCGCAGCUAACGCGUGAAGUUGACCGCCUGGGGAGUACGGUCGCAAGAUUAAAACUUAAAUGAAUUGACGGGGUCAUAGCUGUUUCCUG
This 586-nucleotide ribosomal RNA is filed under the name uncultured bacterium. RNAcentral's name for it is "partial 16S ribosomal RNA". It matches the Rfam family "Bacterial small subunit ribosomal RNA", at positions 355 to 1376 of the family's 1533-position model. The record is from RNAcentral.